UGGGGAAUAUUGGGCAAUGGGCGAAAGCCUGACCCAGCAACGCCGCGUGAGGGAAGAAGGUUUUCGGAUUGUAAACCUCUGUCGCAGAUGACGAAGGAAGUGACGGUAAUCUGUGAGGAAGCCCCGGCUAACUACGUG
This 138-nucleotide ribosomal RNA is filed under the name uncultured bacterium. RNAcentral describes it as "partial 16S ribosomal RNA". It matches the Rfam family "Bacterial small subunit ribosomal RNA", at positions 355 to 507 of the family's 1533-position model. The record is from RNAcentral.